UUGAUUGCGUUAUUGCACAUUGUCUUGAUCCUUAUAAAAGAUAGAUAAGCACUUUAAAUAACAAAUAUUACCAGCAUAACAAGAUCAACAAAUAAUUUUACUGAAUUUUUAUUAAAAAGACGCCUGACUCUUGACAGGUAUUGUCCUUAACAUGACUAUUUACAGUGUUUUGGGGAAAAACUGAAAAGGAUAUAUAAGCACA
RNAcentral lists this long non-coding RNA (202 nucleotides) under Mytilus galloprovincialis (Mediterranean mussel). The record is from RNAcentral. Lineage: Eukaryota; Metazoa; Mollusca; Bivalvia; Mytilida; Mytilidae.